Molecule: ribosomal RNA, 490 nt
Filed under: uncultured bacterium
Lineage: Bacteria
Description: partial 16S ribosomal RNA
Rfam family: Bacterial small subunit ribosomal RNA
Source: RNAcentral
AGUGAACGCUGGCGGCAGGCCUAAUACAUGCAAGUCGAACGGCAGCACAGCAGAGCUUGCUCUGUGGGUGGCGAGUGGCGGACGGGUGAGGAAUACAUGGGAAUCUGCCCAGUCGUGGGGGAUAACGUAUGGAAACGUACGCUAAUACCGCAUGCGCCCUUUGGGGGAAAGCCGGGGACCUUCGGGCCUGGCGCGAUUGGAUGAGCCCAUGUUCGAUUAGCUAGUUGGCGGGGUAAAGGCCCACCAAGGCGACGAUCGAUAGCUGGUCUGAGAGGAUGAUCAGCCACACUGGGACUGAGACACGGCCCAGACUCCUACGGGAGGCAGCAGUAGGGAAUAUUGGACAAUGGGCGCAAGCCUGAUCCAGCCAUGCCGCGUGAGUGAAGAAGGCCCUCGGGUUGUAAAGCUCUUUUGUCCGGAAAGAAAAGCAUACGGUUAAUACCCGGGUGUUCUGACGGUACCGGAAGAAUAAGCACCGGCUAACUUCGUG